AGCGAACGCUGGCGGCAGGCCUAACACAUGCAAGUCGAACGGAUCCUUCGGGAUUAGUGGCGGACGGGUGAGUAACACGUGGGAACGUGCCCUUUGGUUCGGAACAACUCAGGGAAACUUGAGCUAAUACCGGAUGUGCCCUUCGGGGGAAAGAUUUAUCGCCAUUGGAGCGGCCCGCGUCUGAUUAGCUAGUUGGUGAGGUAACGGCCCACCAAGGCGACGAUCAGUAGCUGGUCUGAGAGGAUGAUCAGCCACACUGGGACUGAGACACGGCCCAGACUCCUACGGGAGGCAGCAGUGGGGAAUCUUGCGCAAUGGGCGAAAGCCUGACGCAGCCAUGCCGCGUGAAUGAUGAAGGUCUUAGGAUUGUAAAAUUCUUUCAGCGGGGACGAUAAUGACGGUACCCGAAGAAGAAGCUCCGGCUAACUUCGUG
Molecule: ribosomal RNA, 433 nt
Filed under: uncultured bacterium
Lineage: Bacteria
Description: partial 16S ribosomal RNA
Rfam family: Bacterial small subunit ribosomal RNA
Source: RNAcentral